CUGAACUUAAGCAUAUCAAUAAGCGGAG
RNAcentral lists this non-coding RNA (28 nucleotides) under Xenopus tropicalis (tropical clawed frog). Lineage: Eukaryota; Metazoa; Chordata; Amphibia; Anura; Pipidae. The record is from RNAcentral. RNAcentral also lists the same sequence under 2 other names.